This 367-nucleotide ribosomal RNA is filed under the name uncultured bacterium. RNAcentral's name for it is "bacterial SSU rRNA". It matches the Rfam family "Bacterial small subunit ribosomal RNA", at positions 29 to 424 of the family's 1533-position model. The record is from RNAcentral.
AACGAACGCUGGCGGCAGGCUUAACACAUGCAAGUCGAACGCCCCGCAAGGGGAGUGGCAGACGGGUGAGUAACGCGUGGGAAUCUACCCAGAACUUCGGAACAACUGAGGGAAACUUCAGCUAAUACCGGAUACGCCCUACGGGGGAAAGAUUUAUCGGUUCUGGAUGAGCCCGCGUUGGAUUAGCUAGUUGGUGAGGUAAUGGCUCACCAAGGCGACGAUCCAUAGCUGGUCUGAGAGGAUGAUCAGCCACACUGGGACUGAGACACGGCCCAGACUCCUACGGGAGGCAGCAGUGGGGAAUAUUGGACAAUGGGCGAAAGCCUGAUCCAGCCAUGCCGCGUGAGUGAUGAAGGCCUUUAGGGUU